Molecule: ribosomal RNA, 492 nt
Filed under: uncultured bacterium
Lineage: Bacteria
Description: partial 16S ribosomal RNA
Rfam family: Bacterial small subunit ribosomal RNA
Source: RNAcentral
AGUGAACGCUGGCGGUAGGCCUAACACAUGCAAGUCGAACGGCAGCACAGUAAGAGCUUGCUCUUACGGGUGGCGAGUGGCGGACGGGUGAGGAAUACAUCGGAAUCUACUUUUUCGUGGGGGAUAACGUAGGGAAACUUACGCUAAUACCGCAUACGACCUACGGGUGAAAGCAGGGGAUCUUCGGACCUUGCGCGAUUGAAUGAGCCGAUGUCGGAUUAGCUAGUUGGCGGGGUGAGGGCCCACCAAGGCGACGAUCCGUAGCUGGUCUGAGAGGAUGAUCAGCCACACUGGAACUGAGACACGGUCCAGACUCCUACGGGAGGCAGCAGUGGGGAAUAUUGGACAAUGGGCGCAAGCCUGAUCCAGCCAUACCGCGUGGGUGAAGAAGGCCUUCGGGUUGUAAAGCCCUUUUGUUGGGAAAGAAAAGUAGCAGGUUAAUACCCCGCUGUUCUGACGGUACCCAAAGAAUAAGCACCGGCUAACUUCGUG